CACUGAUACAGCUACACACACAGAUCCUCUUGGGUCUUCUGAUAUUUCAGGACAUGAGGUGUCCUUUAAUUCAUCACACCAUAGAGACAUGAGGUGUCCUUUAAUUCAUCCCACCAUAGAGACAUGAGGUGUCCUUUAAUUCAUCACACCAUAGAGACAUGAGGUGUCCUUUAAUUCAUCACACCAUAGAGACAUGAGGUGUCCUUUAAUUCAUCCCACCAUAGAGACAUGAGGUGUCCUUUAACCACCAUAGAGACAUGAGGUGUCCUUUAAUUCAUCUCACCAUAGAGACAUGAGGUGUCCUUUAAUUCAUCACCAUAGAGACAUGAGGUGUCCUUUAAUUCAUCACACCAUAGAGACAUGAGGUGUCCUUUAAUUCAUCACCAUAGAGACAUGAGGUGUCCUUUAAUUCAUCACACCAUAGAGACAUGAGGUGUCCUUUAAUUCAUCCCACCAUAGAGACAUGAGGUGUCCUUUAAUUCAUCACACCAUAGAGACAUGAGGUGUCCUUUAAUUCAUCACACCAUAGAGACAUGAGGUGUCCUUUAAUUCAUCACACCAUAGAGACAUGAGGUGUCCUUUAAUUCAUCACACCAUAGAGACAUG
Oncorhynchus keta (chum salmon) is the source of this 606-nucleotide long non-coding RNA. RefSeq lists it as uncharacterized. Lineage: Eukaryota; Metazoa; Chordata; Actinopteri; Salmoniformes; Salmonidae. The record is from RefSeq and is a predicted model, not a curated record. The transcript is spliced from 3 exons.